CCGAGGAGUAGCAAGGGGAAGGAACUUGUCCAAGGCUGCACGGCUAAAGUAGCAAGCUGGAAUUUGAACCCAGGCAGUCUGGCUGCAGGCUGCAUGUGCCUGAUCACUUUGCUAUAUUUCCUGUCCAGGUGAAACGGUGCAAGAGAUGCUGCGAGCAACAGGGAGCAAGCCAGAGAGGCCGAUGGAGGAAAAGUCAGAGACAAAGAGAUGUUGCUGCCAAAUCCCUUUCAUCUCCAGCAGAGAGAGAGAGAGUCUGAAACUCCACGAUGAGGAACUGAGACCCAGAGAGUGAAAGUCACUGGACCCUGGGCACACAGAGUCAAAAUGCACUGUCUAUUCUGCCAGGCCUUUGGUCCAGCUGGACUGAUGGGAAAAGGUGCAGGGGAGGAAGGCCUCAGGCGUCGUUUGGAGAAGUUUAAAAUGGAUGCUGUGGCCAGUGGAGAGAGAUCAGUCUAAGCUCUGAAUCGAACACUCUGGUGAUUUCUGCAAAAGGUGGAUGGAAGGAGUCGAGGCUGGAGGCAGGGAUCAUGAGGGAGGCAGCUUCCACAGGCAUUUUUUUUUUUUGCAACUUUUUAAAUUUAUUUUUCUAAUUGAUGCAUAACAAUUGUACUUAUGGGGUACAGAGUGAUAUUUCGAUACAUACAAUGUAUAGUAAUCAGAUCCGGGUAAUUAGCAUAUUCAUUAUCUCAAACAUGUAUUAUCUCUUUGUGUUGGGAACAUUUGAUAUCCUCCUUCUAGCUAUUGGAAACUGUACGUUAUUGUUAACUAUAGUCAUCCUACAGUGCUAUAGAGCACUAGAACUUACUCUACCGCCUAGCUGUAAUUUUGUGUCCUUGAAAAAAUCUCUCCCUAUCCUUCCUCCCCACUCCUCUUCCCAGCCUCCAAUAACCUCUGUUCUGCUUUUUACUUCUAUGAGAUCAACUUUCUUUUAGCUUCCGCAUAUGAGUGAGAAUGUUCGGUGUUUAACUUUCUGUUCCUAGCUUAUCUUAUCUAACAUAAUGUCCUCCAGUUCCACCCAAGUUGCUGCAUAUGGAAGGACUUCCUUCUUUUUUAUGGCUGAAUAAUAUUCCAUUGUGUAUAUGUACCACACUUUCUUUACCCACCCAUCUGUUGUUGGGCACUUGGGUUGAUUCCAUAUCUUGGCUAUUGUGAAUAGUGCUGCAAUAAACAUGAAGGUGCAGAUAUCUCUUUGAUA
RNAcentral lists this long non-coding RNA (1195 nucleotides) under Homo sapiens (human). RNAcentral's name for it is "HSALNT0004973". The record is from RNAcentral. Lineage: Eukaryota; Metazoa; Chordata; Mammalia; Primates; Hominidae.